GAUGAACGCUGGCGGCGUGCCUAAUACAUGCAAGUCGAGCGAACAGACGAGGAGCUUGCUCCUCUGACGUUAGCGGCGGACGGGUGAGUAACACGUGGAUAACCUACCUAUAAGACUGGGAUAACUUCGGGAAACCGGAGCUAAUACCGGAUAAUAUAUUGAACCGCAUGGUUCAAUAGUGAAAGACGGUUUUGCUGUCACUUAUAGAUUGAUCCGCGCCGCAUUAGCUAGUUGGUAAGGUAACGGCUUACCAAGGCAACGAUGCGUAGCCGACCUGAGAGGGUGAUCGGCAACACUGGAACUGAGACACGGUCAAGACUCCUACGGGAGGCAGCAGUAGGGAAUCUUCCGCAAUGGGCGAAAGCCUGACGGAGCAACGCCGCGUGAGUGAUGAAGGUCUUCGGAUCGUAAAACUCUGUUAUUAGGGAAGAACAAAUGUGUAAGUAACUAUGCACGUCUUGACGGUACCUAAUCAGAAAGCCACGGCUAACUACGUG
Molecule: ribosomal RNA, 497 nt
Filed under: uncultured bacterium
Lineage: Bacteria
Description: partial 16S ribosomal RNA
Rfam family: Bacterial small subunit ribosomal RNA
Source: RNAcentral